This 584-nucleotide ribosomal RNA is filed under the name uncultured bacterium. RNAcentral describes it as "bacterial SSU rRNA". It matches the Rfam family "Bacterial small subunit ribosomal RNA", at positions 338 to 916 of the family's 1533-position model. The record is from RNAcentral.
CCUACGGGAGGCAGCAGUGGGGAAUUUUGGACAAUGGGGGCAACCCUGAUCCAGCAAUGCCGCGUGAGUGAAGAAGGCCUUCGGGUUGUAAAGCUCUUUUGUCAGGGAAGAAACGGUGAUCUCUAAUACAGAUUACUAAUGACGGUACCUGAAGAAUAAGCACCGGCUAACUACGUGCCAGCAGCCGCGGUAAUACGUAGGGUGCAAGCGUUAAUCGGAAUUACUGGGCGUAAAGCGUGCGCAGGCGGUUAUAUAAGUCAGAUGUGAAAUCCCCGGGCUCAACCUGGGAACUGCAUUUGAGACUGUAUGGCUAGAGUGUGUCAGAGGGGGGUAGAAUUCCACGUGUAGCAGUGAAAUGCGUAGAUAUGUGGAGGAAUACCGAUGGCGAAGGCAGCCCCCUGGGAUAACACUGACGCUCAUGCACGAAAGCGUGGGGAGCAAACAGGAUUAGAUACCCUGGUAGUCCACGCCCUAAACGAUGUCUACUAGUUGUCGGGUCUUAAUUGACUUGGUAACGCAGCUAACGCGUGAAGUAGACCGCCUGGGGAGUACGGUCGCAAGNUUAAAACUCAAAGGAUUGACGG